GAUGAACGCUAGCGGCAGGCUUAAUACAUGCAAGUCGAACGGGAUUCGAGGUAGCAAUACUUUGAUGAGAGUGGCGCACGGGUGCGUAACGCGUAUGCAACCUACCUUUAACAGGUGAAUAGCCCCGAGAAAUCGGGAUUAAUACACCGUAACAUUGCGAUAUGGCAUCAUACUGCAAUUAAAGAUUUAUCGGUUAAAGAUGGGCAUGCGUGACAUUAGCUAGUUGGUGAGGUAAUGGCUCACCAAGGCAACGAUGUCUAGGGGUCCUGAGAGGGUUAUCCCCCANACUGGUACUGAGACACGGACCAGACUCCUACGGGAGCAGCAGUAAGGAUAUUGGUCAAUGGGCGCAAGCCUGAACCAGCCAUGCCGCGUGCAGGAAGACGGCCCUAUGGGUUGUAAACUGCUUUUGUCAGGGAUAAACCUUUGUACGUGAUACAGAGCUGAAGGUACCUGAAGAAUAAGCAUCGGCUAACUCCGUGCCAG
This 486-nucleotide ribosomal RNA is filed under the name uncultured bacterium. RNAcentral's name for it is "bacterial SSU rRNA". It matches the Rfam family "Bacterial small subunit ribosomal RNA", at positions 28 to 511 of the family's 1533-position model. The record is from RNAcentral.